ACAGGAUCUAGUCUUACCUUCUAAUGUAAAACAAUUUAAUUAUGCUCAUUAGACAUGUUUGCCUGAAUAGUAUCUUAAUCUUAAAUGAGGAUAAUGAAUCCCAGAAAGAUCAAGAUUACUGAAUUUGCUAGAGGUAGAACAAUAUAGGCUAACAAUUACAGAUUGUUCUUACUGCUAUGCAGCUUGGUCUCUAGCAGCUUCUCUUAACCCCUUGUUCUCAUUUGAGCUCAGAACCAGUCCUGGCCUGAGAAUGGCAAAAUGAAAAAGCAGAAGGCUCUUCUGAAAGAUUGAAUGUGGUGCAGGAAUGUAGAAGCAGCUGUAAAAAUCAGUUGCUGGUGUGGGAGCCUCUCAGGGAGGUACCCGGCUGGCAUAAUGCCCUCUGGUGUUAGGAAGGGGUUCUUUCAUCAUAUGCACAUGUAGGGCUGAGCCGCGAUAAUGGAAGCUUCCAACAGAUCUCAGAUCCAGAGCACAACAUGCUAUUAUGCAGCUUUUGUGUAUUUACCAACAAAAAACUGUUGAUUGACAUCCAGUGUUAUAAUUUAUGUCCACUACCCUACAUACUUUUUAGGACAGUGUCUUUCAACCGCUCUGCCUUGAGAAGUGGACCAAAAUUAUUCGUGAGAAAUGCUACAAAUGUUACAAAUAAUAGAAGAUUGCACAUAACCGGCUUUUUAAAAAUAUGAAUUAGAGAAGUUUUAAGAUUAUCUAUAAUAAUAUCUUAUUAACUCAUGUAAGAAUUUUAAAAAAAAAGGAAGUAGAAAGUGUGUGUGACUUUGGAAGAUAUGCCUGUAAAGUUGUGCUUUGGUGUUAUGCAUCUCAGAAAAACACUCAUCUGGGACAUGGCCACACAAGAUGUUUUGAAACAAUGUGCCUUCAAGAACUUAGAAUCUCACUGGGGAGACAAGAUGGACAGAUGACUACGGAAGUUUGAAUUGGAACGACAAUUUGAGAAAGCUUCAAAGAAGAGGCCAUAUGAGAUGGCCUUGAAUCACAAGUUGGAAUUUGAAUAAUGGAAACUGUAAGGAAAGAAGGGACCUGGCACUGCAGGUAUUUACUUGCAAGGAGACAGCAAUAGUAGUUCUGAGCAGUCACCUGUGACAUCUCCAGUGGAGUCUGGAAAAGACAUGUGGAUUCACUUAUAUGAAUAAACGCACGAUGAACAACAACAACAAAAAUGUGUUUGAUCUGGUACCAACUGAGUCAAACUUUACAAAUAUCCAGGGGAGCACAUGAUAGAUGAAGAUGUCAGAGCAUUGGUUAGAACCCCAGAGAAAAGUUACCCAUGAUUGGACAUAAGCUGACAAUUGGAUUUCUGGAGGCCCAGACAAAGACACUCAGUGCUCCAGUUCUGCGACAGGGACCCUCCAGCUGCAGUGCAUGGGGAGCUGCGUGAGUCAGCCUGGCAUGGACUGUCUUAUGUCGUAAUUACAGAAAAGGAAACAAGAUUGCUUCAGAUUUAUAAAAACUGGAAGGUUCUAUUGCUGCACGUGAACAGAUUCUGUUCCAGGAUCCCGUGCCUCCAGUAACCCAUGCUUUCAUUUUAACAUGGAACAAAAGCGAACUUUAUAAGCUUGCCUGUCUAAAGGGAAUAUGCCCCUGCUCUUUAGCCUUUUGCUUCAGGGAGUUAGAGGAAUGAGUGCGAAGUGAGGGUGUGAAAAAGAGGCUAGACACAGCAGUGCUGCCUGCUGAAUUAUUUUCCAUCUGGAGGGAAGGCUGUCGCUUUCGGUAUAUUCCUCAAAGGAAGAAAGAAUGGUAGUGAACUCAAUCAAGUUUCGAUAUUACCUUGUAGUAGAUUUAAUAAGAAGGAAAAUGACUUGAGUCACAGUGCUGAGGGCUUGGGCAAGGCCCAGUGUAUUGGGAUGAUCUGAUGCACUCUUUCCUGGAUUUAUCUGAAUCUUUGCAGAAAGCAGAGAAGGGGUUGGAGCACCAUGUUGGUCCUGACAGUAGUAGAAAGAGGGAGGUGUAUGAAAAAUGCGGCACGCAUGCGUAUGGUGGAGACGGGCAUAGCCACACGUAUUGGAGACAGUUUAGCAGACUAGUUAGGAGUAUAGGUGCUGACAAUAAACUGCUUGGGCUCAAGAGUUUUCUCUUGCUAGCUGUAGGCCUUGGGCAAAUUACUCAGCCUCUUGAAGUUUCUGUUAACCUCUCUGAGUUUACUGUUCCUCAUCUGUAAGGUUGGGAUAAUAGUGGUACAAAUCUCAUAAGGGUUUUUGAGUAUUAACUUGAGAUGAUUCAUGUAAAGCACUCAGCCUAUAAUAAGGGAAUCAUUAUGAUGAGUAAAUAUAUCCACUGCAGAUGACAUUGCUAUUAGAUGGAGGUAAGGACCUCAACGUGAUGAAUGGAUUUGGUGAGCAGAGCAGUGGAGGUAAUUAUCUUCCUUUACUUCUUUUUCUGUUACUGAUACUACCAUUAAUAAUAUAGUUUCCAAUAAUUUUGAACUAUUAAAUGUCAGACAGAGUUCUGGAAUUUUUGUGUGUGUCUGUGUGAGGAAGAUUGGCCCUGAGCUAACAUCUGUGCCAGUCUCCCCUACCUUAUAUGUGAGAUGCUGCCAAAAAAGCAUGCCUUGAUAAGUGGUGGCUAUGUCCAUGCCCAGGAUCUGAAACUGGCGAAUCCCAGGCCACUGAAGCGGAGCACGCGAACUUAACUGCUAUGCCACUAGGCCAGCCCCCUCAAGGAUACUUAUUUUAUACUUCAAGUGGUAAUCUAAUAUUAUUUUAUUCAUUUUGUUGCUCAAAUUCUUCCAGUUUUGGCCACUAGGAGUUCUUUCAGUUGGCUCAUAUGUUCCUUUGACACCCCCCCAUAUUUUUCUGUUUUUUAGCCAUCUUUUAUUUUCUGGCAUUCCAAGGGAUUCCCAGCUCAUCUUGUAUAUUUCCUGCCUCUGUCCUAGAAUCAACCAUUUCUCUAAGGGGCCUGGUUUCUCUUACUGGAGAGUGCAAUUAGAAACCAAGAUGUGAGUACUAUGUGUGCUCAUCGCUAUUGGGAUGUUAUUGCUUUUAGGCCCUCUCAGCUGCAGAGCAAGGAAAUAUGUGCAUGUAUACUAACCUUCAUAUAUAUAAAUAUCCAUAAAUUUUUCUUCCUAUGUGUAUCCGUCUGUAUCUAUAUCAAGGUAAACAUGAGUUCAUAUCAAUGUCUCCAACUCUCAUCCAUUACUAAUGGAUCAUUUCCUUGCUUAUCUGUAAUCACCUGCUCAAACAGUGAGAAACCUAGCUUCCAUCUUUGGC
RNAcentral lists this long non-coding RNA (3221 nucleotides) under Equus caballus (horse). RNAcentral describes it as "lncRNA (ENSECAG00000044132.1)". Lineage: Eukaryota; Metazoa; Chordata; Mammalia; Perissodactyla; Equidae. The record is from RNAcentral.